Molecule: microRNA precursor, 170 nt
Filed under: Oryza brachyantha (malo sina)
Lineage: Eukaryota; Viridiplantae; Streptophyta; Magnoliopsida; Poales; Poaceae
Description: MIR2118 microRNA precursor family
Rfam family: MIR2118 microRNA precursor family
Source: Rfam by way of RNAcentral
ACAGGAAAAAGGAAGAAAUUGAGUGUCUAAGAGCGGUAGGAAUAGGAAAAUUGAGGAAAGCCUGCAUUCUAUUAUUGCCCAUCAAAAUUGGGGUUGAAGAUAAUGUUUAUGUUUUCCUAAUGCCUCCUAUUCCUAUAGUUGUUAGAUGCUUCUUCCUCUUCCUUCUAGCU